GGGGCUAUGGCUCAGAGGUAGAAUGCUCGCCUACCAUGCGUGAGGCACUGGGUUCGAUCCCCAGUACCACA
This 71-nucleotide transfer RNA is filed under the name Marmota monax (woodchuck). RNAcentral describes it as "tRNA.Gly". It matches the Rfam family "tRNA". Rfam says of the family: Transfer RNA (tRNA) molecules are approximately 80 nucleotides in length. Their secondary structure includes four short double-helical elements and three loops (D, anti-codon, and T loops). The record is from RNAcentral. Lineage: Eukaryota; Metazoa; Chordata; Mammalia; Rodentia; Sciuridae.